RNAcentral lists this ribosomal RNA (407 nucleotides) under uncultured bacterium. RNAcentral describes it as "partial 16S ribosomal RNA". It matches the Rfam family "Bacterial small subunit ribosomal RNA", at positions 28 to 526 of the family's 1533-position model. The record is from RNAcentral.
GACGAACGCUGGCGGCGUGCCUAAUACAUGCAAGUAGAACGCAGUUGCGAACGGGUGAGUAACGCGUAGGUAACUGCCUCAUAGCGGGGGAUAACUAUUGGAAACGAUAUCUAAUACCGCAUACUGUGAGCUGGACCUGCGUUGUAUUAGCUAGUUGGUGAGGUAAAGGCUCACCAAGGCGACGAUACAUAGCCGGCCUAGGAGGGUGGUCGGCCAAAAUGGGACAUAGAAAAGGCCCAGACUCCUACGGGAGGCAGCAGGAGGGAAACUUCGGAAAUGGACGGAAGUCUGACCGAGCAACGCCGCGUGAGUGAAGAAGGUUUUCGGGUCGUAAAACUAUGUUGUUAGGGAAGCGGUAACUAAACAGAAAGGGACGGCUAACUACGUGCCAGCAGCCGCGGUAAUAC